UACGUAGGGUGCGAGCGUUGUCCGGAAUUAUUGGGCGUAAAGGGCUCGUAGGCGGUCUGUCACGUCGGGAGUGAAAACUCGGGGCUUAACCCCGAGCCUGCUUCCGAUACGGGCAGACUAGAGGUAUGCAGGGGAGAACGGAAUUCCUGGUGUAGCGGUGAAAUGCGUAGAUAUCAGGAGGAACACCUGCGGUGUAGACGGCUUACUGGACGGUAACUGACGCUGAGGCACGAAAGCGUGGGUAGCAAACAGG
RNAcentral lists this ribosomal RNA (253 nucleotides) under uncultured bacterium. RNAcentral describes it as "partial 16S ribosomal RNA". It matches the Rfam family "Bacterial small subunit ribosomal RNA", at positions 524 to 776 of the family's 1533-position model. The record is from RNAcentral.